UCGAGGAUCUUCGGCAAUGGGCGCAAGCCUGACCGAGCGACGCCGCGUGGACGAUGAAGGCCUUCGGGUUGUAAAGUCCUGUCGAGGGGGAUCAAGGGCAACUUGAGUGAUCCCUGGAGGAAGCACGGGCUAAGUUCGUGCCAGCAGCCGCGGUAAGACGAACCGUGCAAACGUUAUUCGGAAUCACUGGGCAUAAAGGGCGCGUAGGCGGCUUGACAAGUCAGGGGUGAAAUCCGGCAGCUUAACUGUCGCAGUGCCUUUGAUACUGUCGAGCUCGAGGGAGGUAGGGGUCUGUGGAACUUCCGGUGGAGCGGUGAAAUGCGUUGAUAUCGGAAGGAACGCCGGUGGCGAAAGCGACGGACUGGAUCUCUUCUGACGCUGAGGCGCGAAAGCCAGGGGAGCAAACGG
RNAcentral lists this ribosomal RNA (408 nucleotides) under uncultured bacterium. RNAcentral describes it as "bacterial SSU rRNA". It matches the Rfam family "Bacterial small subunit ribosomal RNA", at positions 355 to 775 of the family's 1533-position model. The record is from RNAcentral.